Molecule: RNA transcript, 777 nt
Organism: Mandrillus leucophaeus (drill)
Lineage: Eukaryota; Metazoa; Chordata; Mammalia; Primates; Cercopithecidae
Gene name: keratin, type I cytoskeletal 18 pseudogene
Exons: 1
Source: RefSeq, a predicted model, not a curated record
UGUCACUCGACUGCAGCUGGAGACAGAGAUCGAGGCUCUCAAGGAGGAGCUGCUCUUCAUGAAGAAGAACCACGAAGAGGAAGUAAAAGGCCUACAAGCCCAGAUUGCCAGCUCUGGGUUGACCGUGGAGGUAGAUGCCCCCAAAUCUCAGGACCUCGCCAAGAUCAUGGCAGACAUCUGGGCCCAAUAUGACGAGCUGGCUCGGAAGAACCGAGAGGCGCUAGACAAGUACUGGUCUCAGCAGAUUGAGGAGAGCACCACAGUGGUCACCACACAGUCCACCGAGGUUGAAGCUGCUGAGACGACGCUCACAGAGCUGAGACGUACAGUCCAGUCCUUGGAGAUUGACCUGGACUCCGUGAGAAAUUUGAAGGCCAGCUUGGAGAACAGCCUGAGGGAGGUGGAGGCCCGCUACGCCCUACAGAUGGAGCAGCUCAAUGGGAUCCUGCUGCACCUGGAGUCAGAGCUGGCACAGACCCGGGCAGAGGGACAGCGACAGGCCCAGGAGUAUGAGGCCCUGCUGAACAUCAAGGUCAAGCUGGAAGCUGAGAUCGCCACCUACCGCCGCCUGCUGGAAGAUGGCGAGGAAUUCAAUCUUGGUGAUGCCUUGGACAGCAGCAACUCCAUGCAAACCAUCCAAAAGACCACCACCCGCCAGAUAGUGGAUGGCAAAGUGGUGUCUGAGACCAAGGACACCAAAGUUCUGAGGCAUUAAGCCAGCAGAAGCAGGGUACCCUUUGGGGAGCAGGAGGCCAAUAAAAAGUUCAGAGUUAAAAA